AAAAUUUUUUUUUGCCAUUUCCAAAAAGACACAAGGUUUUGACCCUGCAUGGUACCAUGCAGGGUCAAAACCUUGUGUCUUUUUGGAAAGUAAUUUUUGAGGAAGUUGAGCAAAAUUUUUUUUUCCCAAAAAUUUUUUU
Diplonema papillatum is the source of this 139-nucleotide non-coding RNA. The record is from the annotation of a GenBank genome assembly. NCBI's taxonomy places the organism in Eukaryota, Euglenozoa, Diplonemea, Diplonemida, Diplonemidae.